AUACGGAGGAUGCGAGCGUUAUCCGGAUUUAUUGGGUUUAAAGGGAGCGUAGGCGGGAGCUUAAGUCAGCGGUUAAAUGGUGCGGCUCAACCGUGCCCUGCCGUUGAAACUGGGUUUCUUGAGAGUGCAAGAGGCGGAUGGAAUUCAUGGUGUAGCGGUGAAAUGCUUAGAUAUCAUGAAGAACUCCGAUUGCGAAGGCCGUCCGCUGGGGCACGUCUGACGCUGAUGCUCGAAGGUGCGGGAAUCAAACAGGAUUAGAUACCCUGGUAGUCCGCACGGUAAACGAUGAUUACCCGCUGUCGGCGGCAGACAGUCGGCGGCCAAGCGAAAGCGAUAAGUAAUCCACCUGGGGAGUACGCCGGCAACGGUGAAACUCAAAUGAAUUGACGGGG
This 392-nucleotide ribosomal RNA is filed under the name uncultured bacterium. RNAcentral describes it as "partial 16S ribosomal RNA". It matches the Rfam family "Bacterial small subunit ribosomal RNA", at positions 523 to 918 of the family's 1533-position model. The record is from RNAcentral.